GCCCUUCAGAGGGGGGCGAACAGUUGGAAACGACUGCUAAUACCGCAUACGAUCUAAUCUCGGCAUCGAGGAAAGAUGAAAGGUGGCCUCUAUUUAUAAGCUAUCACUGAAGGAGGGGAUUGCGUCUGAUUAGCUAGUUGGAGGGGUAACGGCCCACCAAGGCGAUGAUCAGUAGCCGGUCUGAGAGGAUGAACGGCCACAUUGGGACUGAGACACGGCCCAGACUCCUACGGGAGGCAGCAUG
This 244-nucleotide ribosomal RNA is filed under the name uncultured bacterium. Its description in RNAcentral is "partial 16S ribosomal RNA". It matches the Rfam family "Bacterial small subunit ribosomal RNA", at positions 128 to 353 of the family's 1533-position model. The record is from RNAcentral.